This is a non-coding RNA of Vicia faba (fava bean), 363 nucleotides long. Lineage: Eukaryota; Viridiplantae; Streptophyta; Magnoliopsida; Fabales; Fabaceae. The record is from the annotation of a GenBank genome assembly.
AUGAUUGACAAAUCGGGUAAGAGUAAUGCACACUUUAUUAUUUCAUUAUUUCAUUAUUUCAUGACAGCUUUAAUGCAUGCAAUAAGCCCACCAAUGUCAGGUAAGUGUUAUGUACUUAAUUUUUGGAUCAUUAUAAUCCCUGCUACAUCUUUCAAUGAGAAUUUAUUUGACUCAUUUUUGAACUUCAGGAUUCACGUCUACAACAAUGAGGAUGUGACAAAUUUCUCAAUGGCGUUGUCUCAAUUUUCAUUAGGAGUUAUUGGCGCUGUCUCAAUUUUCUCUCUUCGGCACUACUCUUUUAUCUGGAAAGACACUUUCAGUUUGUUUGUGGGAUGGAAGAGCCCCUUGAAAUACCUAUACUAA